GGACUGAGUAAUUCUUAUUUUUUGUACACAUGUGAAAUUGGAAUUUGUUAGAGAAGCAACACCAAAAUCCAACAUAAACCCUGUGGUAGUCUAAUCUUCUGACUCGCAACAGCCUUUCCUGCACUACCCAUUCCUAGCACAUGAUUCUCCUGAAAACUACCAUCUACACUUGCCAAGAAGUUCCUUGGAUUUCUAUAUUCAUAUGAAAUAUUGAACAUUUACCGUAAGAUAGUACGGAGGGAAAGGUCAACAGGCUGGCUGCAGAGAGACUGCCUCCUCAUUUGCAAGGAUAUAUGUGCCAGGCUCAACCUGAGAAUGCUCGAGAAUGCAGAAGUAACCCCUCAGCAAGAAAAAUCCAAUCUCCUGUCCCCAGUUGCUCUGAAAGACUCCAGGAACCUUUCUCAAGCCCACAGUAGGGAAGACAUCUGCCUUGCUCCUUCUUUCAUCUACUACUUCUGCAGAUCUUUUGCUCCAGGUAAGCUAACAACCUGUGCAUCAGAUUAUCCUAUUUGGUAUUAAUUGCCCCAGCUCAUUGUCUAAUAAAUU
This 546-nucleotide long non-coding RNA is filed under the name Coturnix japonica (Japanese quail). Its description in RNAcentral is "lncRNA (ENSCJPG00005005726.1)". Lineage: Eukaryota; Metazoa; Chordata; Aves; Galliformes; Phasianidae. The record is from RNAcentral.